Molecule: small nuclear RNA, 116 nt
Organism: Bombina bombina (fire-bellied toad)
Lineage: Eukaryota; Metazoa; Chordata; Amphibia; Anura; Bombinatoridae
Product: U5 spliceosomal RNA
Exons: 1
Source: RefSeq, a predicted model, not a curated record
AAACUCUGAUUUCUCUUCAGAUUGAAUAAAUCUUUUGCCUUUUACUAAAGAUUUCCAUGGAGAGGAACAACUAUGAGUUUUAAUCAUUUUUUUGAGGAUCUGCUACAUGCAGAGCU